Long non-coding RNA from Marmota monax (woodchuck), 3109 nucleotides. RefSeq lists it as uncharacterized. The transcript has 3 exons. The record is from RefSeq and is a predicted model, not a curated record. NCBI's taxonomy places the organism in Eukaryota, Metazoa, Chordata, Mammalia, Rodentia, Sciuridae.
CCCAUAACAGGCAGAAACACACAAUGAGCUUCAGGAGGUGGCACUUGAAUAGAGUUGCGUGAGAGGUGAAGACACUUUCAGAGACUCAGAACACAAAUGUCCUUAUAAAGGAAAAAGAGAAGGAGGAGAGUCAGAGAAGAUGUGAAACCAGAAGUGAAGAGAGAGAAACGAGGAGUGAGGAAUGAUAAAAUAUUGAGAUAUUGAAGAAGAGAGCACACGCCAAAACUGCAGCUUCUGGCAGACACAAUAGGAAUGGAAAUAGAUUCUUCCCUAAAAUAUGCAGAAGAAAUACAGCUCUACCAGCAUCUUGAUAUUAGCCCACAAGAUUCACUUUGGACUUGACUUCCAUAACUGCUUCCUCUGGGAUCAAACUUCUGCAAAUAAGUGGAAAAUUCCAAGUAGGUGAAUGAAUAUCAGAGUAUGUUAGAUCUUCUAUAAUAAUAGAUUAAACUGACUCACCAGCAGAUCCACCCUCAACACUGUGGAGAUCAUAACCCACUUAGCAAUAAACACCACCUACCUGAAGAGGCUUCUAGGUAGUCUGUUAAAUGGGAGUUUACCUUUCCUUGUCAUCUGUGUUCUCUCUACCUAUUGUUUACAGGCAAGCUCUACAAAUUGAAUCCUUCAAUAGUACCAAAAAAGGAACAGAAUUGAAGUUUUAAAAUAAAAUAAAACUCUUCUCUUUAUCUUCACAAUGCCUUCUUUUCUAAAGUAUUCUCAAUUUAGACUCUAAAAAGUCAGCCUAGGUCUUAAAGUUGAUAUUGAUUUACUCUCUAUAGCAUUGUCUCCAUCAUCCCUCACAUGAACAAUUUCAGGGUUUAGCCUUUGCAGUUAAAAACUACAGGGUAACAUCAUGUAUGACUGAUUAAAAUGUAAAUUACUUUAAUAAUUUAUUAAAAUUAUAUUAUUUUAUAUUAUCAUCAUACCAUUAUUUGUUAUCUGUGUCUACAUUUCCUUUACAGUGAAAAGUGAUAAUAAAAAGCUCCAGUUUGUUUUAGUUAGUUAACGAAUGAAAUCCGUGACAUGCUUUUUAAAAAACUACUUGGCAUACAGUAAGCUUUCCAAAAAACAUUAUCUCAUCAUUGUCAUCAUUAUGUACGCAGUUAAAAUUUAGUGUAAAUCUCUACAUAUAAAUCAGUUCCACCACCAUCAUUUAUAAUACACACAAUUCAUGAGUUCGUAUUUGGGUCAAUCAAAAUUUGGAAAAAAAAAAGUGUCCCUAUUAGAUAAUCUUCAAGAACCACAUGAAAACUACUCCAUUUCUGAUGUUAGAAUACCCAAAGUUCUGUCAUUUUGACUGAAAACAUUAUUUGGAAAAAAUAAUCCUAUUCAAAUUUUGAAAAACUCAGAAGCUCGAAUAUGCAAAUUUAAGUCCAAAUAUUAAUAUGACAUUCUUAUUAGCCCUUCAUUUGUAUAGAUACAUACAUUUGCUAGUGAAUAUUUAUUGUAAAAUAAAAUGUAAUUAAAAUGAAAUAAAACAUAAGAUAUUCUAAUUAAUGAAAAAGAUUAUACAACACAAUUAUCAGCUCAACAAUAUAAAGUGUGCUUAAAUAUUAUCCUUAAAAUAAACUAUAUUGGGAAUACAGAGUGAGAUAAGCCAUGCUAGAUAUCAGAAUAAAACAUGGCUUCUAUUUUGAAACAUAAUCCUUCUAGAAUUUAAAAUUAAGUGAGAAAGUUAUGUUUAAGUUAUCAAAUACUCAGGUCUUUGCAGAAUAUAUCAUUCUGUAUAUAAGGGUUUUAACUAAUAUUACAGAUUUUAGAAACCCUUUUAUUAUUUAAUAUAUUGAAAACUAACUUAGACAACUACUGUUGAUCCAGUAAUUGCAUUAGUAAUCAGAUGAACAUUUCCUUGCUAAAUAGCUAGUGUGACCAGAAUAUUUUCUACUUCCUGAAUAUAUAUGUUCUUUCUCAUUUCCCAAUCUGGUUGCAAACAUCAGACUGUAAGAGUUUCAAAAAAUAAUCUGAGAAUAGAAGUCACACUCUAGAACCUUCUUCCUCUAGUGAUCAUGAAGGACAUCCUUUAGAAUGGACAAAAUACAAGAAAAUACUAGUCUGGAUAGCUAAAUCUCCAGCUGAAGUAGCUGCCUGAGAGUGAGCAUCUCCAUGUGUAACUGUGUGCCUGCUCUAUCUUGGCUAAUGAUGACGGGGCAUUGGGAUAACUUCAAUGAUGCCCAGAAAUAACUAAAGUUAAUUUUGUUUGCUCUCUUUAUGCCAGACUCAAAGCUCAGAACAAUUAUCACCAGAAGAACCCUUAAUGUACAUACCAAAAUGACUAUCAGUGGAAACAGUAGGGAAGACUUUUUGACCUCCACUCUCUUUGGGUUUCUUUUUAGCUGACAUAUGACAGAUUAACAGAGAGAAGCACACAAAUGUAUUUAAUGUAAGUUUAAUUUGACAUGGAGCUCUCAGAAAGAAACAAAGAUCCCAAGAAGCUGUUAGAGUUGAACACAUACAUUGAGUUGUACCAAAAAUAGUAAAUAAUGAAAUAAAACAAGGGGACUUUGGUAAGGUAGUUGAUUGUUGAAAAGUGACUAGAAAAAGAAGGGCUAGUGACAGAUAUUUUGUACACAUUUAUCCAGCUUCAACUCCCCAUCUCUGGUAAGGAGACUAUUUUUCUUCCUCCAGGUAGAGAGAAGUCACCUUCCUCAGGGAUAUUUCAGAACCUGCUUUUAAGAUCAGAGUGCACUUCCUGCAUCAUCUCUAUUGUUUAAUUGUCUUUCUGAAUUCUGAAUACCUUCAACUCCAAAGCAGUCAGCAGUGCAUAGUCAAUGUGAAGCAUCUAAGACUACAGUUUGAACAUUCCUAAUCCAAAUAUCUGAAAUCAAAAAUGCUCCAAAAUCCAAAACAUUUUGAGCACCAACAUGCUGCCACAAUGGAAAAAUUCUACAAUUUGCCUAAUGUGAUGAGUCACAGUAAAAAUGCAGGCAUACGAAAAAUAUCAUAAAAUUACCUUCAGGUUAUGUUUAUAAGUUAUGCAUAAAAUGUAAAUGAAUUUCAUGUUUAGACUUGGAUCCCAUUUUCAAGAUGCCUCUUUACACAUACAUACACACGUAUUCCAAAAUUUUUAAAAAGUAAAAUCUAAAGUGCUUCUGGUCCUAAGCAUUUUAAA